GACGAACGCUGGCGGCGUGCUUAACACAUGCAAGUCGAACGGAAAGGCCCUGCUUUUGUGGGGUGCUCGAGUGGCGAACGGGUGAGUAACACGUGAGUAACCUGCCCUUGACUUUGGGAUAACUUCAGGAAACUGGGGCUAAUACCGGAUAGGAGCUCCUGCUGCAUGGUGGGGGUUGGAAAGUUUCGGCGGUUGGGGAUGGACUCGCGGCUUAUCAGCUUGUUGGUGGGGUAGUGGCUUACCAAGGCUUUGACGGGUAGCCGGCCUGAGAGGGUGACCGGCCACAUUGGGCCUGCGAUAGGGCCCAGACUCCUACGGGAGGCAGCAGUGGGGAAUAUUGCACAAUGGGCGGAAGCCUGAUGCAGCAACGCUGCGUGCGGGAUGACGGCCUUCGGGUUGUAAACCGCUUUCGCCUGUGACGAAGCGGGAGUGACGGUAAUGGGUAAAGAAGCACCGGCUAACUACGUG
Molecule: ribosomal RNA, 468 nt
Filed under: uncultured bacterium
Lineage: Bacteria
Description: partial 16S ribosomal RNA
Rfam family: Bacterial small subunit ribosomal RNA
Source: RNAcentral